Molecule: non-coding RNA, 21 nt
Filed under: Arabidopsis thaliana (thale cress)
Lineage: Eukaryota; Viridiplantae; Streptophyta; Magnoliopsida; Brassicales; Brassicaceae
Source: RNAcentral
CGAGGUGUAGCGCAGUCUGGU